AUAAAAUGUCGACAUUAGCAGGACAGUGGCCAUGGAAGCUGGAAUCUAUUUGGGAGUGUAUAAUAAUUCACCUGCCAAAUUAGGGAGCCCUGAAAAUGGAUGUCGUCAGA
RNAcentral lists this non-coding RNA (110 nucleotides) under Mustela putorius furo (domestic ferret). Its description in RNAcentral is "Eukaryotic large subunit ribosomal RNA". It matches the Rfam family "Eukaryotic large subunit ribosomal RNA", at positions 1226 to 1327 of the family's 3401-position model. The record is from Rfam by way of RNAcentral. Lineage: Eukaryota; Metazoa; Chordata; Mammalia; Carnivora; Mustelidae.